GGAAUAUUGGGUUUAAAGGGUCCGUAGGCGGCCCUGUAAGUCAGUGGUGAAAUCUCCCGGCUCAACCGGGAAAUUGCCAUUGAUACUGCAGGGCUUGAAUUAUUGGGAAGUAACUAGAAUAUGUAGUGUAGCGGUGAAAUGCUUAGAUAUUACAUGGAAUACCAAUUGCGAAGGCAGGUUACUAUCAAUAUAUUGACGCUGAUGGACGAAAGCGUGGGUAGCGAACAGGAUUAGAUACCCUUG
This 243-nucleotide ribosomal RNA is filed under the name uncultured Flavobacterium sp. RNAcentral's name for it is "partial 16S ribosomal RNA". It matches the Rfam family "Bacterial small subunit ribosomal RNA", at positions 552 to 790 of the family's 1533-position model. Lineage: Bacteria; Pseudomonadati; Bacteroidota; Flavobacteriia; Flavobacteriales; Flavobacteriaceae. The record is from RNAcentral.